Molecule: non-coding RNA, 542 nt
Organism: Cucurbita pepo subsp. pepo (vegetable marrow)
Lineage: Eukaryota; Viridiplantae; Streptophyta; Magnoliopsida; Cucurbitales; Cucurbitaceae
Source: RefSeq, a predicted model, not a curated record
UACUCUGAACGUUGGCUUUAUGAUCUGGAAAGAUGAUAGAAAAGACAAGAGAGAAUAAUAUUAUGCACAAACUCUGUAAUACAAGAGGGGGUUGAGACGUUAGGAUCCUUCAAGAUGGGUCCUCCUCCACAUCUCAUGCCUGUUUUUCAGUAAAGCUCAGUGUUAGUAGGAGUGAAUGAAGAAAUCGAGAUCGAACCACCCGACACGCUCUCUUCCCAUUUCUUGCAUUAGAAGCAAACUUGAUUGUUCAGAUUGGUCCCAGCACAAACUUCCUCCAGUUUUACAACCAAGAUAGUAGGUGCUGAGAGUGCUGCUCUGUUCUGUGAGGAAUGUCAUUGCAGAAUGCAGCAGUUUCAAACACAGUGCACUUCAGAAAAUGGAUAAGAGAAGCAAGGAAAGGCAGGUUCAACUAUUUCUGGGGAUUUUCGGGACUACUUUUACGAGGUUUUAUUCAACUGUAAGGGCAAAAUUUUAACUUCGAAGUCGUUAAAUGUGAAGGACUAUUACCUGAUCAAGUCGGUCAGCCAUAUUAGCUCUAUCAA